AUUGAACGCUGGCGGCAUGCCUUACACAUGCAAGUCGAACGGCAGCGGACCUUCGGGUGCCGGCGAGUGGCGAACGGGUGAGUAAUAUAUCGGAACGUACCUUUCAGUGGGGGAUAACGUAGCGAAAGUUACGCUAAUACCGCAUAUUCUGUGAGCAGGAAAGCAGGGGAUCGCAAGACCUUGCGCUGAUUGAGCGGCCGAUAUCAGAUUAGCUAGUUGGUGAGGUAAAGGCUCACCAAGGCGACGAUCUGUAGCGGGUCUGAGAGGAUGAUCCGCCACACUGGAACUGAGACACGGUCCAGACUCCUACGGGAGGCAGCAGUGGGGAAUUUUGGACAAUGGGCGCAAGCCUGAUCCAGCCAUGCCGCGUGAGUGAAGAAGGCCUCGGUGUAAGUAC
This 397-nucleotide ribosomal RNA is filed under the name uncultured bacterium. Its description in RNAcentral is "bacterial SSU rRNA". It matches the Rfam family "Bacterial small subunit ribosomal RNA", at positions 30 to 431 of the family's 1533-position model. The record is from RNAcentral.